AAACCAUAAUGAGGGCACUGUUUUUGUAGACUCUUGAAUCCGUCCCAUGCUUCAAAUAAUGAUUCUCCAUCUAUCUAAAUAAAAUUUGUGAUGCAAUUCCUUAU
Zingiber officinale is the source of this 104-nucleotide small nucleolar RNA. The record is from RefSeq and is a predicted model, not a curated record. NCBI's taxonomy places the organism in Eukaryota, Viridiplantae, Streptophyta, Magnoliopsida, Zingiberales, Zingiberaceae.